Molecule: ribosomal RNA, 468 nt
Filed under: uncultured bacterium
Lineage: Bacteria
Description: partial 16S ribosomal RNA
Rfam family: Bacterial small subunit ribosomal RNA
Source: RNAcentral
GACGAACGCUGGCGGCGUGCUUAACACAUGCAAGUCGAACGGAAAGGCCCUGCUUUUGUGGGGUGCUCGAGUGGCGAACGGGUGAGUAACACGUGAGUAACCUGCCCUUGACUUUGGGAUAACUUCAGGAAACUGGGGCUAAUACCGGAUAGGAGCUCCUGCUGCAUGGUGGGGGUUGGAAAGUUUCGGCGGUUGGGGAUGGACUCGCGGCUUAUCAGCUUGUUGGUGGGGUAGUGGCUUACCAAGGCUUUGACGGGUAGCCGGCCUGAGAGGGUGACCGGCCACAUUGGGACUGAGAUACGGCCCAGACUCCUACGGGAGGCCGCAGUGGGGAAUAUUGCACCCUGGGCGGAAGCCUGAUGCAGCAACGCCGCGUGCGGGAUGACGGCCUUCGGGUUGUAAACCGCUUUCGCCUGUGACGAAGCGUGAGUGACGGUAAUGGGUAAAGCAGCACCGGCUAACUACGUG